Molecule: ribosomal RNA, 589 nt
Filed under: Escherichia coli
Lineage: Bacteria; Pseudomonadati; Pseudomonadota; Gammaproteobacteria; Enterobacterales; Enterobacteriaceae
Description: partial 23S ribosomal RNA
Rfam family: Bacterial large subunit ribosomal RNA
Source: RNAcentral
CGGGACACGUGGUAUCCUGUCUGAAUAUGGGGGGACCAUCCUCCAAGGCUAAAUACUCCUGACUGACCGAUAGUGAACCAGUACCGUGAGGGAAAGGCGAAAAGAACCCCGGCGAGGGGAGUGAAAAAGAACCUGAAACCGUGUACGUACAAGCAGUGGGAGCCUCUUAAUGGGGUGACUGCGUACCUUUUGUAUAAUGGGUCAGCGACUUAUAUUCUGUAGCAAGGUUAACCGAAUAGGGGAGCCGAAGGGAAACCGAGUCUUAACUGGGCGUUAAGUUGCAGGGUAUAGACCCGAAACCCGGUGAUCUAGCCAUGGGCAGGUUGAAGGUUGGGUAACACUAACUGGAGGACCGAACCGACUAAUGUUGAAAAAUUAGCGGAUGACUUGUGGCUGGGGGUGAAAGGCCAAUCAAACCGGGAGAUAGCUGGUUCUCCCCGAAAGCUAUUUAGGUAGCGCCUCGUGAAUUCAUCUCCGGGGGUAGAGCACUGUUUCGGCAAGGGGGUCAUCCCGACUUACCAACCCGAUGCAAACUGCGAAUACCGGAGAAUGUUAUCACGGGAGACACACGGCGGGUGCUAACGUCCGU